Molecule: long non-coding RNA, 1198 nt
Filed under: Heterocephalus glaber (naked mole-rat)
Lineage: Eukaryota; Metazoa; Chordata; Mammalia; Rodentia; Bathyergidae
Description: lncRNA (ENSHGLG00100037241.1)
Source: RNAcentral
UCUGAAAUGUUUUCCUCUGCAACCUGCUGUGUUCAGGAGGCCAAAAGAGCGCCAGAACCUCCCACCCAGGGCAGGCAGGGGCCAGGCCAAAGAUAUACAAGUUUUCAGAGGAUUCAGCUCAUGGUUGGUUGGCUCCAAGGCAGAAAUGACAUGGCAGGACAUGGUGGAGGAGAGCUGCUCACCUCAGGGCAGCCAGGAAGCAGAGAGAGAAGGAAGGAGCCAGAGAUAAGAAUACAUUCUUCCAGCUCCUGGAUCCUGGCAUGAGAAAGAAAGAUCAAAUCUACAGAGACACAGUGAAAGUGAGUAAUUCCAGAGGCCUCCAGGAAGAAACAGAAGAGUGGAACAGAGCACUGUGUCCUGUGAGGUACCACAGCUGGUGACUGACUCCGGUCCAAGCAACUGCAGUGUCCCCUGGAGACAGUGCUUGGUUGGAUGCCAUUUUAGGGAGGGGCCAACUGAACCCAGAACUUGUGGCAGCUGUGAUUGGCUUCAUCUCAGGGCUCCCAGUGUUAAAAACCCACAGUGACUGUGUGAGGGACCACCAUGGGAGACAUCCAGUGUGUUAUAAGUGGUCAAGCCAGCAAGAGACAUCCAGAAUGUUAUAAUCUAAACAACUCAGACCCUAACCCCAUGACCAGAGGCCAGGAUCAGCCUGAACUUCUGUGGAUUUCAAAGCGCCAGAACCAGCACCUUGUGUUAAUCCUACUGCAGGCUUGCUGGGGUUAUCCUAUAUGGCUCUGGGCUCUGACUGCCUCCUUUGUCUGCAAGCAAGAACAGAGUGAUGCCCUGAAUUGGACACUGCCACAAAACUGUAGAUCCCAGAAGACAACCAUAGGUUUGAAAUCACAGAGAAAUUUCUUUUUUUUUUUCCUCCUUCACUUUGGUUUUUGUUCUUUUCUUCAUUUGGGUGUUGUUGUUUUCAUGAGUGUGAACGUUGCUUUUAGCUUUUUGUUUUGUUUUGUUGUUGUUUCUUCUUUCUUUCCUUCUUGUUUUCUUCACCAGUUUCCCAAGGCUUGGGUAAUUUUCCUUUGUCCUUCAGCCUUGCUUCUAAUCUCUUUCUCUUCUUCAAUUUCUCUAUUUUUUCCUCUUAUUCCUUUGAAAUUUUCUUCCCUGAGAGUAAAAUUGCUCUAUUGAGGGGAUAUUUACUCUAUAUAAUUUUAUGAUUUGUCUUAGAUUUUGUUAUAUAACUGUAUAUCUU